AAAAAUUGUGUGCAAUUUCUUGCCAAGCCGUUACAGCAUUUUAUAUUUAAGAAAUCCUGUACAGGUUUUGCAAUAAAAUUGUGCACGAACAUU
Non-coding RNA from Tribolium castaneum (red flour beetle), 93 nucleotides. The record is from RefSeq and is marked provisional. Lineage: Eukaryota; Metazoa; Arthropoda; Insecta; Coleoptera; Tenebrionidae.